Molecule: ribosomal RNA, 497 nt
Filed under: uncultured bacterium
Lineage: Bacteria
Description: partial 16S ribosomal RNA
Rfam family: Bacterial small subunit ribosomal RNA
Source: RNAcentral
GAUGAACGCUGGCGGCGUGCCUAAUACAUGCAAGUCGAGCGAACAGACGAGGAGCUUGCUCCUCUGACGUUAGCGGCGGACGGGUGAGUAACACGUGGAUAACCUACCUAUAAGACUGGGAUAACUUCGGGAAACCGGAGCUAAUACCGGAUAAUAUAUUGAACCGCAUGGUUCAAUAGUGAAAGACGGUUUUGCUGUCACUUAUAGAUGGAUCCGCGCCGCAUUAGCUAGUUGGUAAGGUAACGGCUUACCAAGGCAACGAUGCGUAGCCGACCUGAGAGGGUGAUCGGCCACACUGGAACUGAGACACGGUCCAGACUCCUACGGGAGGCAGCAGUAGGGAAUCUUCCGCAAUGGGCGAAAGCCUGACGGAGCAACGCCGCGUGAGUGAUGAAGGUCUUCGGAUCGUAAAACUCUGUUAUUAGGGACGAACAAAUGUGUAAGUAACUAUGCACGUCUUGACGGUACCUGAUCAGAAAGCCACGGCUAACUACGUG